Molecule: ribosomal RNA, 490 nt
Filed under: uncultured bacterium
Lineage: Bacteria
Description: bacterial SSU rRNA
Rfam family: Bacterial small subunit ribosomal RNA
Source: RNAcentral
UCACUAGUAGAUGGACCUGCGUUGUAUUAGCUAGUUGGUGAGGUAACGGCUCACCAAGGCGACGAUACAUAGCCGACCUGAGAGGGUGAUCGGCCACACUGGGACUGAGACACGGCCCAGACUCCUACGGGAGGCAGCAGUAGGGAAUCUUCGGCAAUGGGGGCAACCCUGACCGAGCAACGCCGCGUGAGUGAAGAAGGUUUUCGGAUCGUAAAGCUCUGUUGUAAGAGAAGAACGUGUGUGAGAGUGGAAAGUUCACACAGUGACGGUAACUUACCAGAAAGGGACGGCUAACUACGUGCCAGCAGCCGCGGUAAUACGUAGGUCCCGAGCGUUGUCCGGAUUUAUUGGGCGUAAAGCGAGCGCAGGCGGUUUAAUAAGUCUGAAGUUAAAGGCAGUGGCUUAACCAUUGUUCGCUUUGGAAACUGUUAGACUUGAGUGCAGAAGGGGAGAGUGGAAUUCCAUGUGUAGCGGUGAAAUGCGUAGAUAU